Molecule: non-coding RNA, 24 nt
Filed under: Mus musculus (house mouse)
Lineage: Eukaryota; Metazoa; Chordata; Mammalia; Rodentia; Muridae
Source: RNAcentral
CAUGUGACCUUCCAGAAUGUGUGG